GGAUGAGGCAUGCGCAAAAUACACCUCAGCCCAGCCUGAUGGAGCUCUCCGUCGAGAGGAAACAGACCACCAGGAAUCUCCCCAUGAGAAAUGAAAGCUUACGUUUACUCCAAGACUUGCAUGUGAACACUGACAGCAGCAUCAUUACUCAUGAUUGCCCCAAGCUGGAGACAACCCGCGUGUCCAUCAAGUGGACAGAGAAGCAAAAUGUGGUCUACGCAUCGGUGGCAUCCUACCUGUCGGUGAGAAGGACCAAAGUGCCAGCACGAGGAGGGACCUCAAAACGCUGAGAUCGUGAAGGAAGCUGGACACAGAGGACUGUAUGUCUUAUGAUUCCAUUUGUAGGAAGUGUCCCAAAAAGGUAAACCGAUAGGGACGGGAAGAAGAUGAGUGGCUGCCUGGGGCCGGUAGUGGGAACAGUUAGCGACCAAUAAUGAGCACAUGGC
This 446-nucleotide long non-coding RNA is filed under the name Mustela putorius furo (domestic ferret). RNAcentral's name for it is "lncRNA (ENSMPUG00000024123.1)". Lineage: Eukaryota; Metazoa; Chordata; Mammalia; Carnivora; Mustelidae. The record is from RNAcentral.